Molecule: long non-coding RNA, 1408 nt
Organism: Prinia subflava (tawny-flanked prinia)
Lineage: Eukaryota; Metazoa; Chordata; Aves; Passeriformes; Cisticolidae
Exons: 3
Source: RefSeq, a predicted model, not a curated record
CCAGGGCAAGCCAUGCUUGACCAGACUGCUCUCUGUGAUAAAAUGACUAGGUGUGAGAUGAGGGGAGAGCAGUGGAUGUCACUUACCCACACUUUAGUAAUGUUUUCAGCAGUGUCUCCCACAAUGUUCUUGUGUCCAAGCUGGAAUACCAAAUCUGGAUGUCUGGAUCACCAAAACUCCAGUAAAUUGAUAACUUAUUGGAGAUUUGGGCUCAGAGGGUGGUAGCUAAGGAGCUGUGCUCAGCCUGGAGCCUGCCCAGUAAAGUUGUGCAAUUUCCACCCUAGAAAGUUUUUGUGCCCUGCCUGGACAUGACACUGUUCUAAUUUCAGUGGUGAUCAUGUUAAGAGCUGGAGAAUGGAUGAAGACAUCCAGAGGUCCCUUCUACCCUGAGUUAUCCUAUGAGUCUCUUAUUCUAAUGUUUGGGCACACAGAUGAUUGUCCAAUUGGGCAGACCACAGAGUUGGCCUCAUGCUGACAGCAGGAGAACCUAAGGUGCUGACCCUGACAUGAUAAUUCUGUAGUGGCAACUUUCCUGUCAAAAUAUUGCUAAAAAGCUCAUGCAAAAAACCCCCAUGGCUUCAUAUCACAUUGUGUUUUCUGUCACACAAGAAAAAGGCUUUGAUUUAGUGGUGUUAAUGGCAGCUGUAACACAGCACACCCACUUGCCAACAUAAGGUUUCCAAGUUUCCUGUCCUCAGUGUUUCAUGUUGAUUAUGUCUUGGACUACAGUGCCUCUUGCAUCCCACCUUUUAUGGGAGGGUUUUACACUUUGGUAUUUAGAUUCCUGUAGCUUUCAAAACAUGCUCAAGGGCUGAACAAGAGCAAAUUUGCCUUGAUGUUGAUGCUGAGUGUUUUUCUACAGGCAGGUGCCCAGUCUGGGUUGUCUCCUUCUGUCUGCACUGUUAAGAUUCUCUUCCUGCAAUUUCUGCAAGGACUGACCCUCACCAUGCUGGACUCUGAGUUAAAGCACAUGUUAGAACGGCUUUAAAAUUUGAGAAAGUCAGGUUAGUGAUGCCAAAUCCAGCAGUGAACAAUGCCAUAUGUCUAAUAAAAACCCAGAUGAAACAGCACAACAGCACCAGGUAAUGCUACUUUUUUUUUUUUUUUCCUAUUGCUGUGUCUACCACCAUUAAAAAAACAGAUCUAACUUCCUCCUACAAUAGGGUAUUUUAGUGUGUUGUAGGAGUGCCUCAGUCCUUUUAUUGACACACCCCUAAGUUUUUCUUAUGCCUUCUUGUUUGCCUUUUUCCUCUCCCACUGCACAGACUUAUUAGUUCUCUAGUGAUGUACAGCAUCCAUGUCAUGUGUUAAAGAUAUUCUCAGAGGAAAAACCCCCAACAGUUUUCCAAUAAACAUAGAUAUGCUGAUUUUCCAGGAGGGUUUAAUUGAAGCUUGAUCUGAGCCCUGU